RNAcentral lists this ribosomal RNA (406 nucleotides) under uncultured bacterium. RNAcentral describes it as "bacterial SSU rRNA". It matches the Rfam family "Bacterial small subunit ribosomal RNA", at positions 355 to 776 of the family's 1533-position model. The record is from RNAcentral.
UGGGGAAUUUUCUGCAAUGGACGAAAGUCUGACAGAGCAAUACCGCGUGAGGGAAGAAGGUUCAAGGAUUGUAAACCUCUUUUUUCAAGGAAGAAUUUCUGACGUUACUUGAAGAAUAAGCAUCGGCUAACUCUGUGCCAGCAGCCGCGGUAAUACAGGGGAUGCAAGUGUUAUCCGGAAUUAUUGGGCGUAAAGCGUCUGUAGGUUGAUUUUUAAGUCUUUUGUUAAAUAUAUAAGCUUAACUUAUAAAAUGCAAAAGAAACUAUUUAUCUUGAGUUUGAUAGAGGUAAAGGGAAUUUCCAGAGAAGCGGUGAAAUGCGUAGAUAUUGGAAAGAACACCAAAAGCGAAGGCACUUUACUGGGUCAAUACUGACACUGAGAGACGAAAGCUAGGGGAGCAAACGGG